UCGCGCCUACGGGACGCAGCAGCGGGGAAUAUUGCACAAUGGGGGAAACCCUGAUGCAGCGACGCCGCGUGAGUGAAGAAGUAUUUCGGUACGUAAAGCUCUAUCAGCAGGGAAGAAGAAAGACGGUACCUGACUAAGAAGCCCCGGCUAACUACGUGCCAGCAGCCGCGGUAAUACGUAGGGGGCAAGCGUUAUCCGGAUUUACUGGGUGUAAAGGGAGCGUAGACGGCUGUGCAAGUCUGAAGUGAAAGCCCAGGGCUCAACCCUGGGACUGCUUUGGAAACUGUAGAGCUAGAGUGCUGGAG
RNAcentral lists this ribosomal RNA (305 nucleotides) under uncultured bacterium. Its description in RNAcentral is "bacterial SSU rRNA". It matches the Rfam family "Bacterial small subunit ribosomal RNA", at positions 333 to 654 of the family's 1533-position model. The record is from RNAcentral.